Molecule: ribosomal RNA, 468 nt
Filed under: uncultured bacterium
Lineage: Bacteria
Description: partial 16S ribosomal RNA
Rfam family: Bacterial small subunit ribosomal RNA
Source: RNAcentral
GACGAACGCUGGCGGCGUGCUUAACACAUGCAAGUCGAACGGAAAGGCCCUGCUUUUGUGGGGUGCUCGAGUGGCGAACGGGUGAGUAACACGUGAGUAACCUGCCCUUGACUUUGGGAUAACUUCAGGAAACUGGGGCUAAUACCGGAUAGGAGCUCCUGCUGCAUGGUGGGGGUUGGAAAGUUUCGGCGGUUGGGGAUGGACUCGCGGCUUAUCAGCUUGUUGGUGGGGUAGUGGCUUACCAAGGCUUUGACGGGUAGCCGGCCUGAGAGAGUGACCGGCCACAUUGGGACUGAGAUACGGCCCAGACUCCUACGGGAGGCAGCAGUGGGGAAUAUUGCACAAUGGGCGGAAGCCUGAUGCAGCAACGCCGCGUGCGGGAUGACGGCCUUCGGGUUGUAAACCGCUUUCGCCUGUGACGAAGCGUGAGUGACGGUAAUGGGUAAAGAACCACCGGCUAACUACGUG